GUACACGCUGUGACUAGCAUAUCAAUAAGCGGAGGAAAAGAAACUAACAAGGAUUCCCCUAGUAACGGCGAGUGAAGCGGGAAGAGCUCAAAUUUGAAAUCUUAAAGGGUUUCCCUUUACGAAUUGUAGUUUAAAGAAGUGUUUUCUGUUGAGGUUUUGGUAAAAGUUCUUUGGAAUAGGACAUCAUAGAGGGUGAGAAUCCCGUAUUUGACCUUUACUUUCAACUUUGUGAUACACUUUCAAAGAGUCGGAUUGUUUGGGAAUGCAGUCCAAAAUGGGUGGUAAAUUUCAUCUAAAGCUAAAUAUUGGCGAGAGACCGAUAGCGAACAAGUACCGUGAGGGAAAGAUGAAAAGAACUUUGAAAAGAGAGUUAAACAGUACGUGAAAUUGUCAAAAGGGAAGCGUUUGACACCAGUGUUGUUUUUCUGAAAAUCAAUUAAAGAACUGUUUAUGCUAAGCUGUUUAGACUUUAUCAGCUAACUGUUUAGUUUUGAGCUUUUCUUUAAUGCACUUUUCAGUUAACAAGUCAACAUCAAUUUCUUUUGCUGUAAAAAAGCUUGAGGAAGGUGGCUUGAGAUUCGUCUUAAGUGUUUAUAGCCUCUUGCCUAUGCAGUCGGAGAGAUUGAGGUCUGCAGCGUAGAUCCUUCGGGGCUAAAUGCAUUUGUGCUAAGUUAUAGCAUUUUAUAGACAACUUGUUGACUAUGAUUUGUCUUGUAGCUUACUCGCUUAUGUUAUUUUACCUACGCUUAGGAUGUUGACUGAUAUGUAGUCGU
RNAcentral lists this ribosomal RNA (773 nucleotides) under uncultured Neocallimastigales. RNAcentral's name for it is "partial large subunit ribosomal RNA". It matches the Rfam family "Eukaryotic large subunit ribosomal RNA", at positions 22 to 643 of the family's 3401-position model. The record is from RNAcentral. Lineage: Eukaryota; Fungi; Neocallimastigomycota; Neocallimastigomycetes; Neocallimastigales.